This is a long non-coding RNA of Amphimedon queenslandica, 109 nucleotides long. RefSeq lists it as uncharacterized. The record is from RefSeq and is a predicted model, not a curated record. Lineage: Eukaryota; Metazoa; Porifera; Demospongiae; Haplosclerida; Niphatidae. The transcript is spliced from 2 exons.
AUGGAGAACAAACGGGCCGACAUAAAAACAAACCUGUAUUAAGAAUUCUGGAGCAAAUUUGACCAAAUCCUUGACAGGAGAAGCUUAGAGGCAGCUGCUCUUUCUUAUA